Molecule: ribosomal RNA, 1151 nt
Filed under: Brevibacillus formosus
Lineage: Bacteria; Bacillati; Bacillota; Bacilli; Caryophanales; Paenibacillaceae
Description: partial 16S ribosomal RNA
Rfam family: Bacterial small subunit ribosomal RNA (bases 1-862)
Source: RNAcentral
CGGGCGUACGGGCAAAUUACAUGCAGGUCUAGCGAGUCUCUUCAAACGCUCCCCGGCGGACGGGUGAAUAACACGUACGCAACCUGCCUCUCAGACUGGGAUAACAGAGGGAAACUUAUGCUAAUACCGGAUAUGUUUUUGGACCCCAUGGUCCGAAAAGAAAAGGCGGCUUCGGCUGUCACUGGGAGAUGGGCCUGCGGCGCAUUAACUAGUUGGGGGGGUAACGGCCUACCAAGGCGACGAUGCGUAGCCGACCUGAGGGGGUGACCGGCCACCCUGGGACUGAAACACCGCCCAGACCCCUAGGGGAGGCAGCAGUAGGGAAUUUUCCACAAUGGACGAAAGUCUGAUGGAGCAACGCCGCGUGAACGAUGAAGGUCUUCAGAUUGUAAAGUUCUGUUGUCAGGGACAAAAAAGUACCGUUCAAAUAGGGCGGUACCUUGACGGUACCUGACGAGAAAGCCACGGCUAUCUACGUGCCAGCAGCCGCGGUAAUACGUAGGUGGCGUGCGUUGUCCGGAUUUAGUGGGCGUAAAGCGCGCACGGGCGGCUAUGUCCCUCUGGUGUUAAAGCCGGGGGGCUCACCCGCGGGUCCCCUCCCAAACUGUGUUUUUUGUGUGCAUAACAGGAGAGCUGUUUUCCCGUGUGUACCCCGUAAAUGCGUAUAAUAUGUGUAGGAACCCCAUUCGACAAGGGCGGUCUUCCCUGUCUGUAUCUCCCCCCUGAUUGCCCGCAAAGCGUGGGGGAUCAACAGGAUUAGAUACCCCUGGGUCAUCGACGGUCUAAACACAAAUGAGCUGCUAUGUUGUUGGGGGGUUUCAAUAACACUACAGUGCCCCCCCUAAGGCAAUAAAGCCCCUCCCCCUUGGGGGAGGACCCCCCCCGAGAUGUGACACCCGAAGGUAUUUGACGGAGUCCCCACCACGCUGUGGGAGCCAGGUGUUCACCUAAUAAGCACCGACGAAGACUCUCUCACCAUGCUGUCAAUCGGUGACGACUGUGGAUAAGCACGCUUCUCUCUCUUGGCAGCAUCACAAGAGACCUCGGUUGUCUACACAUCUUGUCUGCCCAUGGAGACUAUCCGCAACAGAGGACUUAUCUUAUGGCGUGUCUCCUAAGAUUUCCUAUAGAGAACGCUCCAGACACGAGAA